AUACGUAGGGUGCAAGCGUUAAUCGGAAUUACUGGGCGUAAAGCGUGCGCAGGCGGUUUUGUAAAAAAGAGGGGAAAUCCCCGGGCUCAACCCGGGAACUGCCUUUGUGACUGCAAGGCUAGAGUACGGCAGAGGGGGAUGGAAUUUCGCGUGUAGCAGUGAAAUGCGUAGAUAUGCGGAGGAACACCGAUGGCGAAGGCAAUCCCCUGGGCCUGUACUGACGCUCAUGCACGAAAGCGUGGGGAGCAAACAGGAUUAGAUACCCUGGUAGUCCACGCCCUAAACGAUGUCAACUGGUUGUUGGGUCUUCAUUGACUCAGUAACGAAGCUAACGCGUGAAGUUGACCGCCUGGGGAGUACGGCCGCAAGGUUGAAACUCAAAUGAAUUGGCGGGG
Molecule: ribosomal RNA, 395 nt
Filed under: uncultured bacterium
Lineage: Bacteria
Description: partial 16S ribosomal RNA
Rfam family: Bacterial small subunit ribosomal RNA
Source: RNAcentral